CGGGUGAGUAACACGUGGACAACCUGCCUCAAGGCUGGGGAUAACAUUUGGAACAAAUGCUAAUACCGAAUAAAACUUAGUGUCGCAUGACACAAAGUUAAAAGGCGCUUCGGCGUCACCUAGAGAUGGAUCCGCGGUGCAUUAGUUAGUUGGUGGGGUAAAGGCCUACCAAGACAAUGAUGCAUAGCCGAGUUGAGAGACUGAUCGGCCACAUUGGGACUGAGACACGGCCCAAACUCCUACGGGAGGCUGCAGUAGGGAAUCUUCCACAAUGGGCGAAAGCCUGAUGGGGCAACGCCGCGUGUGUGAUGAAGGCUUUCGGGUCGUAAAGCACUGUUGUAUGGGAAGAACAGUUAGAAUAGGAAAUGAUUUUAGUUUGACGGUACCAUACCAGAAAGGGACGGCUAAAUACGUGC
Molecule: ribosomal RNA, 416 nt
Filed under: uncultured Leuconostoc sp.
Lineage: Bacteria; Bacillati; Bacillota; Bacilli; Lactobacillales; Lactobacillaceae
Description: bacterial SSU rRNA
Rfam family: Bacterial small subunit ribosomal RNA
Source: RNAcentral